This is a non-coding RNA of Macaca mulatta (Rhesus monkey), 2693 nucleotides long. The record is from RefSeq and is a predicted model, not a curated record. Lineage: Eukaryota; Metazoa; Chordata; Mammalia; Primates; Cercopithecidae.
CCUGGCCUCAAGCGAGCCCACCUUGGCCUCCCAGAGUGUUGGGAUUACAGGCGUGAGCUACUGCGCUUGACCUGGGCUGCUUUCCCUUUGAACUGGUCAGUUGCAAAGCUGUUCUCUGAACCGUCCUCUCCGCUUUCUCCCUCAAACCUGCUUUGAGCCGGGUUUCUCCUUGUUGCCAACCCAGUCCUUCUCCUCCCCUUUCUCUGCGUGUGCCAUGGUGGACCCUGCUCUUACAUCCAUGCGGUUGCCUCAGUGAACCCUGCUCCAUCCCGGUCACCAUGCACGCUCCUGCCAGCUGGCCUGAGUCAUAACAGCUUGGAGUCCCCCCAACCCCACCCAAGGAACCCGCUUUGUCAAAGGUGACAGCCAAGCGAAGGGCAGUGGCCUCACUAGGCCACACUCUGCCUUUCUCUCUGGGUCCCUGGGCCCCGCGUUGCCAGGGCUGGUGGCUGCCGCUCCACUUCCUCCCCCGGAGGUGUGCACUGCAGUUCCCUCCGCCGGAGCCACUCUCUCCCGGGUUUCCUCCUCCUCAGCCUUCUCGUCUCGGCCACUGUGAAGUCAGGCCCCAGUUGUGACACCUCACUUGACACCCACAAGUCUUGGCCCCGGCUCUCCAAGCUCAUUUGCCAACAGCAGCGUCUCCAUUUCAUGCCCAGUGGUGACAUUGACUCCAUGGUUAUAGAGAUGGAGGAUGCCCUGUGAGAACCGGGCUAAGCCAUGCCAGUGGCCUGUGACCCUCCAACCCUGGGUGCCACCCCCCACCUGCUCUAGGGGACCCCCAGUGGUGUGGUCUCUGCUGACACCUGCGCCUGUGCCUGGGGUCCCUGUCAUCCUUCCCUGGUCUGAGUGGCAAGUCUCCUGCCAUCCAUCCCUGCUAGGCGGUGAGCUCUCCAGCCUGGGCCCGCCUAGUGGCUCAUGCUCCUUUCUACAGCGCCUGGUUUAGGGUGAAUGCUGAGGCUGGAGCUGACCCUGCCCUGGCCUUCAGAGUCUUGGCUUAGUUCCACCUGCACUGGUCCAAGCCCAGCCUGGUUGCCCAGUGAAGGAUCCACAGUGGGUACAUACAGGGCCAAGCGCUGUCCACACGGGCACAUCCCAUGUGGGCAUGAGUGCUCCCUGCAAUCCCCAGACAAGCCUGCCUCUCAGCGGGGCUUAGCUCAGGGCAUAGACCCUGAAGGGCUGAGUCUGCCUCUGUGUGUGUGUGUGUGUGUGUAUGUGAGAGAGAGAGAGAGAGAGAGGCAGGGAUGGGGGGAGAGUGUGUGUAUCAAUGAGAGAGAUGGAGAAAGUCAUGUGUGAAAGGGAUUGAGUAUUUCAGAAAAUGAAUGAGAGACAUUGGGAGACAUGGUGGGAGGUGGAGUGGGAAAGAGACCUGUUGUAUGAGAGGGAGGCUGUCUCCGAGAACGAGGGGGAAAGAUACGGAGACAGGAUAAGCGGCAGGGAGAGAGAGGGAGAGAGGGAUUGAACUGGAGCGAGACCAACAGAGUCCGGGGUUCUCCCCGCCCUUCCUGGCAGGCGGGCUGCCCUGAAGCCAGGUGAUGUGGGAGGAUUUGGUGGGUUCUCAGUGACCCCACUGAGGCCUGACCCUCAAAUGGAGAAGGUUCACCUCCUGCAAAUGACCAGACUGUGGGCUGUAAUUGUGUGUGUGUCUGUGUGUGUGUGGGCCUUAUGAUGGCCUCUGGAAGGGUCCCGGGGUGGGUGGGUCUUAGGCAUGGGGUGUCCUCUGCCCUUAUUCUUUCUUCAUCCGGGCUCCCUGCCCCUGCUGAGAUGGGAAGCACAGAUGUCAGCUUGCGGAGCUGCAGCGCGCACUCCCCUCCACGCUGCGCACGGGAACCCGUCCGUGUCACACACCUGCCCUGCCAUGGUGAAAGGACUGUGUGGGAUCUCUUCCUCCCUACCUGAAGUUCCUGCCACUGGGACCUGUCACAGGCACUCAGGACACAGCUGGCUCACCCUCUUCUCUGACAGCACCUGGGACAUCCAUGCCCCCGUCCAUUGUCAGCCCUGCUGAGGAAGGGUUAUAGGGUGGGCUGCAGGCUGGAGGCCAGGGAGAGGUGCAGGACCAGGCCUGGUAUUUACUCACCCUCCUCCCAUCCCACAUUGUCCUGGAGCCUCCAUCUCCACCUGAGCCAGCCGGGCUGAUGAAGAUUUCCAGGCAUCCUCAGCAAGGCCCAUGGCCUGGGGUCGCCACCUUCCUGAGCUGCGUGGAUCUCAGCCAGGACUUGUCCCUGAGAACAGAUGGGGGCUGGGAGUCCCAGCCCGUUCCUGGACCACCCUGCCAUCAGCUUGCCCAGCCUAGUUCCCUUUCUCUUCUGCACUCUGAACGUGCCCUCCGUGUGUUCAGACGCUCAUGGUUUCUGGUGAGAAGUUGGCUGUGUCUCUCACGGAUCCUGUCUCGUAGGUGAUGAGUGACUUUUCUUUUGCUGCUUGUCGAGAUUCCUGGCUGUGGAUUGGAUGACUGGGAAGCGCUGUCCCUGAACAGCCCCUGUGACUAUGGGGCUGUCCUUCCACAGUGUGUACUGAAGGUGCAGGCUGAACCUUUUAAAGAAUAAACAGAAAGAAAUCAGCUCUUUCACUUUUUGCAAGUUGGUGAAAACAGACUUCCAGGGAAUUUUACCUUUUUAUCAUCCCAUUUACUCUGGAAAGCCUUGUCUCAUGUUUUAGAGCUUGUAGGGUUUAAUAAAACUAGUUAACAGCCA